AUUGAACGCUGGCGGCAGGCCUAACACAUGCAAGUCGAGCGGAUGAAGGGAGCUUGCUCCUGGAUUCAGCGGCGGACGGGUGAGUAAUGCCUAGGAAUCUGCCUGGUAGUGGGGGAUAACGUCCGGAAACGGGCGCUAAUACCGCAUACGUCCUGAGGGAGAAAGUGGGGGAUCUUCGGACCUCACGCUAUCAGAUGAGCCUAGGUCGGAUUAGCUAGUUGGUGGGGUAAAGGCCUACCAAGGCGACGAUCCGUAACUGGUCUGAGAGGAUGAUCAGUCACACUGGAACUGAGACACGGUCCAGACUCCUACGGGAGGCAGCAGUGGGGAAUAUUGGACAAUGGGCGAAAGCCUGAUCCAGCCAUGCCGCGUGUGUGAAGAAGGUCUUCGGAUUGUAAAGCACUUUAAGUUGGGAGGAAGGGCAGUAAGUUAAUACCUUGCUGUUUUGACGUUAACAACAGAAUAAGCACCGGCUAACUUCGUG
RNAcentral lists this ribosomal RNA (484 nucleotides) under uncultured bacterium. RNAcentral's name for it is "partial 16S ribosomal RNA". It matches the Rfam family "Bacterial small subunit ribosomal RNA", at positions 30 to 507 of the family's 1533-position model. The record is from RNAcentral.